UGGGGAAUCUUCCGCAAUGGACGAAAGUCUGACGGAGCAACGCCGCGUGAGUGAAGAAGGUUUUCGGAUCGUAAAACUCUGUCUUUUGGGGCGAACGUGAGUAUGGUGAACAAUUAUAGUCAGUGACGGUACCAAAGGAGGAAGCCACGGCUAACUACGUGCCAGCAGCCGCGGUAAUACGUAGGUGGCAAGCGUUGUCCGGAAUUAUUGGGCGUAAAGAGCGCGUAGGCGGGAUAGUCAGUCUGUUGUAAAAGUGCGGGGCUCAACCCCGUGAUGGCAAUGGAAACAGCUAUUCUUGAGUGCAGGAGAGGAAAGUGGAAUUCCCAGUGUAGCGGUGAAAUGCGUAGAUAUUGGGAGGAACACCAGUGGCGAAGGCGACUUUCUGGACUGUGUCUGACGCUGAGGCGCGAAAGCCAGGGGAGCGAACGGGAUUAGAUACCCCGGUAGUCCUGGCCGUAAACGAUGGGUACUAGGUGUGGGAGGUAUCGACCCCUUCCGUGCCGGAGUUAACGCAAUAAGUACCCCGCCUGGGGAGUACGGUCGCAAGA
RNAcentral lists this ribosomal RNA (548 nucleotides) under uncultured bacterium. RNAcentral's name for it is "partial 16S ribosomal RNA". It matches the Rfam family "Bacterial small subunit ribosomal RNA", at positions 355 to 893 of the family's 1533-position model. The record is from RNAcentral.